Molecule: ribosomal RNA, 428 nt
Filed under: uncultured Pseudomonas sp.
Lineage: Bacteria; Pseudomonadati; Pseudomonadota; Gammaproteobacteria; Pseudomonadales; Pseudomonadaceae
Description: bacterial SSU rRNA
Rfam family: Bacterial small subunit ribosomal RNA
Source: RNAcentral
AAGCAACGCGAAGAACCUUACCACGGCUUGACAUGCAGAGAACUUCCAGAGAUGGAUUGGUGCCUUCGGGAACUCUGACACAGGUGCUGCAUGGCUGUCGUCAGCUCGUGUCGUGAGAUGUUGGGUUAAGUCCCGUAACGAGCGCAACCCUUGUCCUUAGUUACCAGCACGUUAUGGUGGGCACUCUAAGGAGACUGCCGGUGACAAACCGGAGGAAGGUGGGGUUGACGUCAAGUCAUCAUGGCCCUUACGGCCUGGGCUACACACGUGCUACAAUGGUCGGUACAAAGGGUUGCCAAGCCGCGAGGUGGAGCUAAUCCCAUAAAACCGAUCGUAGUCCGGAUCGCAGUCUGCAACUCGACUGCGUGAAGUCGGAAUCGCUAGUAAUCGUGAAUCAGAAUGUCACGGUGAAUACGUUCCCGGGCCUU